Molecule: ribosomal RNA, 1708 nt
Filed under: Escherichia coli PA22
Lineage: Bacteria; Pseudomonadati; Pseudomonadota; Gammaproteobacteria; Enterobacterales; Enterobacteriaceae
Description: bacterial LSU rRNA
Rfam family: Bacterial large subunit ribosomal RNA
Source: RNAcentral
CGUUCUGUAAGCCUGUGAAGGUGUGCUGUGAGGCAUGCUGGAGGUAUCAGAAGUGCGAAUGCUGACAUAAGUAACGAUAAAGCGGGUGAAAAGCCCGCUCGCCGGAAGACCAAGGGUUCCUGUCCAACGUUAAUCGGGGCAGGGUGAGUCGACCCCUAAGGCGAGGCCGAAAGGCGUAGUCGAUGGGAAACAGGUUAAUAUUCCUGUACUUGGUGUUACUGCGAAGGGGGGACGGAGAAGGCUAUGUUGGCCGGGCGACGGUUGUCCCGGUUUAAGCGUGUAGGCUGGUUUUCCAGGCAAAUCCGGAAAAUCAAGGCUGAGGCGUGAUGACGAGGCACUACGGUGCUGAAGCAACAAAUGCCCUGCUUCCAGGAAAAGCCUCUAAGCAUCAGGUAACAUCAAAUCGUACCCCAAACCGACACAGGUGGUCAGGUAGAGAAUACCAAGGCGCUUGAGAGAACUCGGGUGAAGGAACUAGGCAAAAUGGUGCCGUAACUUCGGGAGAAGGCACGCUGAUAUGUAGGUGAAGUCCCUCGCGGAUGGAGCUGAAAUCAGUCGAAGAUACCAGCUGGCUGCAACUGUUUAUUAAAAACACAGCACUGUGCAAACACGAAAGUGGACGUAUACGGUGUGACGCCUGCCCGGUGCCGGAAGGUUAAUUGAUGGGGUCAGCGCAAGCGAAGCUCUUGAUCGAAGCCCCGGUAAACGGCGGCCGUAACUAUAACGGUCCUAAGGUAGCGAAAUUCCUUGUCGGGUAAGUUCCGACCUGCACGAAUGGCGUAAUGAUGGCCAGGCUGUCUCCACCCGAGACUCAGUGAAAUUGAACUCGCUGUGAAGAUGCAGUGUACCGCGGCAAGACGGAAAGACCCCGUGAACCUUUACUAUAGCUUGACACUGAACAUUGAGCCUUGAUGUGUAGGAUAGGUGGGAGGCUUUGAAGUGUGGACGCCAGUCUGCAUGGAGCCGACCUUGAAAUACCACCCUUUAAUGUUUGAUGUUCUAACGUGGACCCGUGAUCCGGGUUGCGGACAGUGUCUGGUGGGUAGUUUGACUGGGGCGGUCUCCUCCUAAAGAGUAACGGAGGAGCACGAAGGUUGGCUAAUCCUGGUCGGACAUCAGGAGGUUAGUGCAAUGGCAUAAGCCAGCUUGACUGCGAGCGUGACGGCGCGAGCAGGUGCGAAAGCAGGUCAUAGUGAUCCGGUGGUUCUGAAUGGAAGGGCCAUCGCUCAACGGAUAAAAGGUACUCCGGGGAUAACAGGCUGAUACCGCCCAAGAGUUCAUAUCGACGGCGGUGUUUGGCACCUCGAUGUCGGCUCAUCACAUCCUGGGGCUGAAGUAGGUCCCAAGGGUAUGGCUGUUCGCCAUUUAAAGUGGUACGCGAGCUGGGUUUAGAACGUCGUGAGACAGUUCGGUCCCUAUCUGCCGUGGGCGCUGGAGAACUGAGGGGGGCUGCUCCUAGUACGAGAGGACCGGAGUGGACGCAUCACUGGUGUUCGGGUUGUCAUGCCAAUGGCACUGCCCGGUAGCUAAAUGCGGAAGAGAUAAGUGCUGAAAGCAUCUAAGCACGAAACUUGCCCCGAGAUGAGUUCUCCCUGACCCUUUAAGGGUCCUGAAGGAACGUUGAAGACGACGACGUUGAUAGGCCGGGUGUGUAAGCGCAGCGAUGCGUUGAGCUAACCGGUACUAAUGAACCGUGAGGCUUAACCUU